This 556-nucleotide ribosomal RNA is filed under the name uncultured bacterium. RNAcentral describes it as "bacterial SSU rRNA". It matches the Rfam family "Bacterial small subunit ribosomal RNA", at positions 777 to 1347 of the family's 1533-position model. The record is from RNAcentral.
AAUAGAUACCCAGGUAGUCCACGCCGUAAACGAUGGAUGCUAGCUGUUAUGCGUAUCGACCCGUGUAGUAGCGAAGCUAACGCGUUAAGCAUCCCGCCUGGGGAGUACGAACGCAAGUUUAAAACUCAAAGGAAUUGACGGGGACCCGCACAAGCGGUGGAGCGUGUUCUUUAAUUCGAGGCUAAGCGAAGAACCUUACCAGGGCUUGACAUCCUUGGAAUUUCUCCGAAAGGAGAGAGUACUUUAUUGGACCAAGUGACAGGUGCUGCAUGGCCGUCGUCAGCUCGUGUCGUGAGAUGUUUGGUUAAGUCCAUUAACGAGCGCAACCCUUAUGAAUAGUUGUAUUUUUCUAUUCAGACUGCCCCGGUAACGGGGAGGAAGGGGGGGAUGAUGUCAGGUCAGUAUUGCCCUUACGCCCUGGGCUAGAACGCGCUACAAUGGCCGGUACAAUGCGCUGCCAACCCGCGAGGGGGAGCAAAUCGCAUCAAAGCCGGUCCCAGUUCGGAUAAGAGGCUGAAACUCGCCUCUUUGAAGCCGGAAUCGCUAGUAAUCGGUA